Molecule: ribosomal RNA, 468 nt
Filed under: uncultured bacterium
Lineage: Bacteria
Description: partial 16S ribosomal RNA
Rfam family: Bacterial small subunit ribosomal RNA
Source: RNAcentral
GACGAACGCUGGCGGCGUGCUUAACACAUGCAAGUCGAACGGAAAGGCCCUGCUUUUGUGGGGUGCUCGAGUGGCGAACGGGUGAGUAACACGUGAGUAACCUGCCCUUGACUUUGGGAUAACUUCAGGAAACUGGGGCUAAUACCGGAUAGGAGCUCCUGCUGCAUGGUGGGGGUUGGAUAGUUUCGGCGGUUGGGGAUGGACUCGCGGCUUAUCAGCUUGUUGGUGGGGUAGUGGCUUACCAAGGCUUUGACGGGUAGCCGGCCUGAGAGGGUGACCGGCCACAUUGGGACUGAGAUACGGCCCAGACUCCUACGGGAGGUAGCAGUGGGGAAUAUUGCACAAUGGGCGGAAGCCUGAUGCAGCAACGCCGCGUGCGGGAUGACGGCCUUCGGGUUGUAAACCGCUUUCGCCUGUGACGAAGCGUGAGUGACGGUAAUGGGUAAAGAAGCACCGGCUAACUACGUG